AGUGUGUAAGUUGAUUGAAAAUUAUACUUUAUGGAUAAAUACAUCGAUGAAAUUAUAUUUACAAAUUAAUAUACUUAUCUUGUAUAAUUUUAGGUGACGAACUUAUGUGGUAUGAAAUGAUUGGUUGGUUACAAGCAUCGACGGCUUUCACUUUUUAGUGAAUCCCUUCAUGCCACGUAAAGUGGGACAAGGGUUCUGAAUUGAUUGGGGCAGAAACAGGAAAUGACUUGUAACGAUUGUAAUAUAUAAGUGUUGUGAGGUAGAUGGAUUCUUUAACCAAAAGAAUGCUUGCGGAUUAAACAUCACUGUUUGCAGUUGCCAAAUUUAUCAUCCUCUACCUACAACUCAUGUGAUAGUGAUACAUAGCUACAGUUUAUCCUCUCUAUCUCUAUCGCAUUAACUUGAUUUCAAGAAUGUAAUACGCAAGUUGUAAUGUAACAUUUAUAUAGCAUUGACUCGUAUCAAUAUCCUCUUGAGGGAAGAAAAAAUAUUAAUAAACAAACAAACAAACAAACUUGUAUCAGUAACCUUUCAUUUCAAUCUCAGUGUUGGAUUCUAGCAUAUAACUAGUAGUUGACACAAAUAAUUGUCAUUAAACUGAUAACAACGUUUCUAAUUAUAUAUUAUCAUCGAAGAUUCAAGCAAAGAGUGCAUGAAAGUGCAAGGUAAUUAUAGCUAAUGGUUGACACAAAUAUAUAGCUGUCAUUAAACUAAAUGUCGGUAUUUAUCAAAUUAAAUUAUAGCUACCUUAGUACUAAAUAUGAGUUUAAUUAGAUGAGAUGAGAUUUGAUGUGCCUUAAAAAGCUUUGCCCUCGAGCAAUGCCCCUCUUUAGUAUACCAGAGGUUCUACGUCACGAUCUAACGAGCAACCACCAAUUAAUAAUAUUAAGACACAUGGUAAUAAAAAUUAAAAAAAAAUGGAAUAAACAAUACAUAUUCCCCUCUUUUUAUUAUCCCUAUAAAAUUUUUAAAGUACGAGACAAAACAUUAAAAUUGUCUCUCUCUCACGUAAUUAACUCCAUCUUAUUCUUUUUUUCUCUCUCUCACUCAAACCUUUCAUCUAUCAUCUUUUUAAAAAAGAUAUCGACUCUUUGACUGAUUAUGCAUAAUAUGUGAAAGAUUUUAGUAAUAUAGGUCCAGAAUUAAUUCUUUGUAAUUAUAGGAAGAGUUUUAACGGAUUUGCAAAAGACAAAAGUUCAAAUAAUGGCUGUCGGUGGGGGGUGAACAUAACUUUUUUUUUGGGUGAAUUGUUAAUUAAUUUAAUACCAAUUUUAAUUUGCCAUAAGAAUGAAACUAAGGGAAGUAAUACAACUUUUUGGUCAUUAUUUGAAGCUAUAUUAUCCUCGCUGUUGAUUUGGCUUCAAAACGAGCUGAAACUCUUAAAUGGUAUUUUUCCUUUGAUGAAUAGAUAGGCGAAGCAGCCAAUCUAUUUCAAUUAUUUAAAGCAAUGGGAGGCAUUGGAAAGUGAUGAAGUGAUUGGAAUAUUUGACACUGGAAUUUGAGAAAGUUUUAAUUAAAAUGGCAGCACUCAUGUUUCAAAAAUCAUCUUCUCUUCACCAUCAACAGAAAUCUUCUCCUUCGUAAUAACAAAAAUUAACUAUAAUCAUUUUCAUCAAUUUUUUUUUUAAAUUCUUCAUCACGUUUUAAAAAUGGCAGCCGGUGGAACAAAGAUGAAAGAUGAAGAUUUGGGUGAGAGAGAGAGAGAGAAUUAGACAGAGUUAAUUAAGGGUGAGAGAGAAAAAUUUAAUGCUUCGUCUGUUCAAAUUUUUGGUGGGAUAAACAAAAGUGGAUAAUAUGUAAUUUUGGAAGCCAGCUCCCGUAUUUAGAUAUUAUAAUCAAUGGUUUCAGUUUUUACGUUAAAUUGUAAGUUAUGAUUAUAUUAGAGUUGUUUUAAA
Molecule: long non-coding RNA, 1895 nt
Filed under: Citrus x clementina
Lineage: Eukaryota; Viridiplantae; Streptophyta; Magnoliopsida; Sapindales; Rutaceae
Description: Citrus clementina (C. clementina) long non-coding RNA (CCLE_LNC000176)
Source: RNAcentral